Amblyraja radiata (thorny skate) is the source of this 1803-nucleotide long non-coding RNA. RefSeq lists it as uncharacterized. The transcript is spliced from 4 exons. NCBI's taxonomy places the organism in Eukaryota, Metazoa, Chordata, Chondrichthyes, Rajiformes, Rajidae. The record is from RefSeq and is a predicted model, not a curated record.
GGCAGCGGUCUCAGAGGAAAUGGUGCUAGUAAGUAGUUCGCCUGGUUCAUAUUCGAUUCACAAGAGCUUUUGUUGCGCCGAGCUUCGGUGUCGCUCCUGCCUGCGUCUCUUAGGAUUGAGCUAUCCGUGGUGCUGAAACCGCCGACUCUUCCCUGGGAACUUAACUUUUGGGCUCCCUCCGUCUGAAUGGCGAAGGAGAUGGAAACUGCUCAGAAUGAAACGUGGAGGAUCGAAAAUUGCAACCAACUACACGACAUGCCAUGAAUGUACCGCUGUUUUUGGGCAGAGUGGUUUUACUGGAAACCUGCCUUGAUGUGUACUGAGGGGGAUCGCCUACUCAUUCAUUCUUUGGAACCCAUCUUUCUUGAUAAUAGUUCUUGUCCUUCCAAUAACUUACCAAGAGAUACCAGGUGAUGGAAUUGCCUCCACUUUAUUUUAAUGUGCAUAACAUACUUUUGUGAAGUAAGGUAGGUUAUUAAAAAUGAACAAAGGAAAAUAAAGUUUUAGAAACCAGAAGUUAACUUUUAUUGAACUGCUCAAUGCGUAAUGUUGGAAGAUUGGGAAAUAUAUAUUUGCGAGAUGAGCACAAACAGUGUGACAAAAAUAUUGGAAACUAUGAGAACAUGCCAGGCUGGCAGGUAUUUACCAGCAAUUCCCCUCCAUACACACAACUCUUUGGGGGCAAGGAUUUGAGCUCGAAAAUUGUGAAAUGCACUGUCAUGCCAUGACAAUAUUCAGAGAAGGCAAAUUAUGUGCAAAGGUUUUUGCACAUAACGUGCUUGUACACACGUGUAUCACUUACCAGGGUGAUAUCAUGACAAACAUAUAUAAUUUCCUUAAUUAUCAUCACCCAGUUGAUCUACAAUCUUCACAAUGCAGCAUGCUAAGAGUUAAAAUAAAUUGUUCUCAUUUAACAUUUAACAUAGUAACAUUGGAGAAAACAUGAACACAUUGGUUGACACUGAAUCAGAAAAGAAUAAGCUUUGCAAGCAGUGGGUUACCAAAAUAUAGAAUGGUGAAUACAUUUCCUUGGACAACCAGAGGUGGCAUCUACCAACAUGUUUGAAAUCGGCAGUGACUCUGAAUUAUUCGAACUUUACGUGUCUCAAUUUUGGUGCAUAGAACUAAAGAUGAAGGAACAUUUUUAUCAAGCUCCGGGUUUUUACAUUAGGAAUGCGCUUUUUGUUUUCGGAAGUGACAAGUGCUUUUAUUUCAGUGUCAGAACCAAUGUCACUGCUGCCUCCAAGAAGUAACGGUAAUGAUAAUAGUAAAGAAUGCAUUGCUUGUGAAUGUGAAUGAUGGUGAAAGCAUUGUCCUUUGUGAGCUGUCUAAGUAUUUCAGUGCCCGGAUAUAGAUUAUGACAUGAUUUGCAGUUUAUCUAUUCUCUUCUGUUUGUGCAAAAGAGACAAUGAGUUUGGAAUGGUGAUAUUUCUAAUGCCUGAUUACUUUUAUUUCGACCUAAACGCAUUUACAUUCUGUACAUGUGAUUGCAAGUUAUAGCAGAUUUCAGUCCCAUACAGAUCCAAUAAAUCAAAAAGAAUGAAGGCCCUGUUCUUUUUUGUAUUGAAGUUUAUCCCAAUAUUAAGGCGCAAUUCGUUGUAACAUACAACAUAUAAAGUGUUACCACAAAAUAUAACUUGUAAAUUUCUGAACAUGAUGUCUCUGUAAAAACAAACAUAUCAAUUAUAUUUUAGGAAACUAACCUAAAUGGCAUUAACCAAUAAAAUAAAAAUGUGUGCUAAUCAAACAAUACGAUUUAAAAUGCAGUUUAUUGGUCUCUAAUGCAAUUGAUCUUAGUUGAAG